AGAGUUUGAUCCUGGCUCAGAACGAACGCUGGCGGCGUGCCUAAAACAUGCAAGUCGAGCGAGAAAGGGAGCAAUCCUGAGUAAAGCGGCGCACGGGUGCGUAACACGUGGGUAAUCUGCCUCGAAGAGAGGGAUAACUAGCCGAAAGGUUAGCUAAUACCUCAUAAGCUUACGGCCUCUUCGGAGGCUGUUAGAAAAGGGUGGCCUCUGUAUACAAGCUAUCGCUUCGAGAUGAGCCCGCGGCCCAUCAGCUAGUUGGCGGUGUAAAAGACCACCAAGGCGAUGACGGGUAGCUGGUCUGAGAGGACGAUCAGCCACACUGGAACUGAGACACGGUCCAGACUCCUACGGGAGGCAGCAGUUGGGAAUAUUGCGCAAUGGGCGAAAGCCUGACGCAGCAACGCCGCGUGAGCGAUGAAGGUCUUCGGAUCGUAAAGCUCUUUCGGCCGGGACGAAAACUCACCGUUUCAUACGCGGUGACUUGACGGUACCGGAAGAAGAAGCACCGGCUAACUCUGUGCCAGCAGCCGCGGUAAUACAGAGGGUGCAAGCGUUGUUCGGAAUUAUUGGGCGUAAAGCGCGUGUAGGCGGCUUGUUGUGUCGGGUGUGAAAGCCCUCGGCUUAACCGAGGAAGUGCGCCCGAAACUAGCGAGCUUGAGUGCCGGAGAGGAGAGUGGAACACCCGGUG
This 688-nucleotide ribosomal RNA is filed under the name uncultured soil bacterium. Its description in RNAcentral is "bacterial SSU rRNA". It matches the Rfam family "Bacterial small subunit ribosomal RNA", at positions 8 to 675 of the family's 1533-position model. The record is from RNAcentral.